Molecule: ribosomal RNA, 492 nt
Filed under: uncultured bacterium
Lineage: Bacteria
Description: partial 16S ribosomal RNA
Rfam family: Bacterial small subunit ribosomal RNA
Source: RNAcentral
AGUGAACGCUGGCGGUAGGCCUAACACAUGCAAGUCGAACGGCAGCACAGUAAGAGCUUGCUCUUACGGGUGGCGAGUGGCGGACGGGUGCGGAAUACAUCGGAAUCUACUUUUUCGUGGGGGAUAACGUAGGGAAACUUACGCUAAUACCGCAUACGACCUACGGGUGAAAGCAGAGGAUCUUCUGACCUUGCGCGAUUGAAUGAGCCGAUGUCGGAUUAGCUAGUUGGCGGGGUAAAGGCCCACCAAGGCGACGAUCCGUAGCUGGUCUGAGAGGAUGAUCAGCCACACUGGGACUGAGACACGGUCCAGACUCCUACGGGAGGCAGCAGUGGGGAAUAUUGGACAAAGGGCGCAAGCCUGAUCCAGCCAUACCGCGUGGGUGAAGAAGGCCUUCGGGUUGUAAAGCCCUUUUGUUGGGAAAGAAAAGCAGCAGGUUAAUACCCCGCUGUUCUGACGGUACCCAAAGAAUAAGCACCGGCUAACUUCGUG